This 263-nucleotide unclassified non-coding RNA is filed under the name Basidiomycota sp. Its description in RNAcentral is "partial contains small subunit ribosomal RNA, internal transcribed spacer 1, and 5.8S ribosomal RNA". The stretch from base 1 to 47 matches the Rfam family "Eukaryotic small subunit ribosomal RNA", at positions 1785 to 1831 of the family's 1831-position model. The record is from RNAcentral. Lineage: Eukaryota; Fungi; Basidiomycota.
AAAGUCGUAACAAGGUUUCCGUAGGUGAACCUGCGGAAGGAUCAUUAUUGAAAUCCUUUGGAUGCUGCUGGCCUUUUGGGGCAUGUGCACUCCGCCUUUUCAUCUCACCUGUGAACUCAUUGUAGGCCUGAUUUGUUUUACAAAUCUGUGUCUAUGUUAUUUUACACACACACACACACAAGUCUCUCAGAAUGUCUCUCAAAGACCCUUUAGUGGUCAAAAAAAUAUUAAUACAACUUUCAACAAUGGAUCUCUUGGUUCUC